AGUGAACGCUGGCGGUAGGCCUAACACAUGCCAGUCGAACGGCAGCACAGUAAGAGCUUGCUCUUACGGGUGGCGGGUGGCGGACGGGUGAGGAAUACAUCGGAAUCUACUUUUUCGUGGGGGAUAACGUAGGGAAACUUACGCUAAUACCGCAUACGACCUACGGGUGAAAGCAGGGGAUCUUCGGACCUUGCGCGAUUGAAUGAGCCGAUGUCGGAUUAGCUAGUUGGCGGGGUAAAGGCCCACCAAGGCGACGAUCCGUAGCUGGUCUGAGAGGAUGAUCAGCCACACUGGAACUGAGACACGGUCCAGACUCCUACGGGAGGCAGCAGUGGGGAAUAUUGGACAAUGGGCGCAAGCCUGAUCCAGCCAUACCGCGUGGGUGAAGAAGGCCUUCGGGUUGUAAAGCCCUUUUGUUGGGAAAGAAAAGCAGCAGGUUAAUACCCCGCUGUUCCGACGGUACCCAAAGAAUAAGCACCGGCUAACUUCGUG
RNAcentral lists this ribosomal RNA (492 nucleotides) under uncultured bacterium. RNAcentral describes it as "partial 16S ribosomal RNA". It matches the Rfam family "Bacterial small subunit ribosomal RNA", at positions 29 to 507 of the family's 1533-position model. The record is from RNAcentral.